GUGCUCACUUCGGCAGCACAUAUACUAAAAUUGGAACGGUACAGAGAAGAUUAGCAUGGCCCCUGCGCAAGGAGGACACGCGAAUUUGUUAAGCGUUCCAUAUUUUG
Molecule: small nuclear RNA, 107 nt
Organism: Heterocephalus glaber (naked mole-rat)
Lineage: Eukaryota; Metazoa; Chordata; Mammalia; Rodentia; Bathyergidae
Source: Ensembl